CCACCAAGGCAACGAUCAGUAGGGGUUCUGAGAGGAAGGUCCCCCACAUUGGAACUGAGACACGGUCCAAACUCCUACGGGAGGCAGCAGUGAGGAAUAUUGGUCAAUGGGCGAGAGCCUGAACCAGCCAAGUAGCGUGCAGGAAGACGGCCCUAUGGGUUGUAAACUGCUUUUAUAAGGGAAUAAAGUGAGUCUCGUGAGACUUUUUGCAUGUACCUUAUGAAUAAGGACCGGCUAAUUCCGUGCCAGCAGCCGCGGUAAUACGGAAGGUCCGGGCGUUAUCCGGAUUUAUUGGGUUUAAAGGGAGCGUAGGCCGGAGAUUAAGCGUGUUGUGAAAUGUAGACGCUCAACGUCUGCACUGCAGCGCGAACUGGUUUCCUUGAGUACGCACAAAGUGGGCGGAAUUCGUGGUGUAGCGGUGAAAUGCUUAGAUAUCACGAAGAACUCCGAUUGCGAAGGCAGCUCACUGGAGCGCAACUGACGCUGAAGCUCGAAAGUGCGGGUAUCGAACAGGAUUAGAUACCCUGGUAGUCCGCACGGUAAACGAUGGAUGCCCGCUGUUGGUCUGAACAGGUCAGCGGCCAAGCGAAAGCAUUAAGCAUCCCACCUGGGGAGUACGCCGGCAACGGUGAAACUCAAAGGAAUUGACGGGGGCCCGCACAAGCGGAGGAACAUGUGGUUUAAUUCGAUGAUACGCGAGGAACCUUACCCGGGCUUGAAUUGCAGAGGAAGGAUUUGGAGACAAUGACGCCCUUCGGGGUCUCUGUGAAGGUGCUGCAUGGUUGUCGUCAGCUCGUGCCGUGAGGUGUCGGCUUAAGUGCCAUAACGAGCGCAACCCCUCUCCUUAGUUGCCAUCAGGUUAAGCUGGGCACUCUGGGGACACUGCCACCGUAAGGUGUGAGGAAGGUGGGGAUGACGUCAAAUCAGCACGGCCCUUACGUCCGGGGCUACACACGUGUUACAAUGGCAGGUACAGAGAGACGGUUGUACGUAAGUACGAUCAAAUCCUUAAAGCCUGUCUCAGUUCGGACUGGGGUCUGCAACCCGACCCCACGAAGCUGGAUUCGCUAGUAAUCGCGCAUCAGCCAUGGCGCGGUGAAUACGUUCCCGGGCCUUGUACACACCGCCCGUCAAGCCAUGAAAGCCGGGGGCGCCUAAAGUCCGUGACCGUAAGGAGCGGCCUAGGGCGAAACUGGUAAUUGGGGCUAAGUCGUAACAAGGUA
This 1223-nucleotide ribosomal RNA is filed under the name metagenome. RNAcentral describes it as "bacterial SSU rRNA". It matches the Rfam family "Bacterial small subunit ribosomal RNA", at positions 265 to 1498 of the family's 1533-position model. The record is from RNAcentral.